This 29-nucleotide non-coding RNA is filed under the name Mus musculus (house mouse). Lineage: Eukaryota; Metazoa; Chordata; Mammalia; Rodentia; Muridae. The record is from RNAcentral. RNAcentral also lists the same sequence under 1 other name.
UCUCAAAGAGGUGUAUUUUCUGCUUUAAC